RNAcentral lists this unclassified non-coding RNA (976 nucleotides) under Hevea brasiliensis (rubber tree). The record is from RNAcentral. Lineage: Eukaryota; Viridiplantae; Streptophyta; Magnoliopsida; Malpighiales; Euphorbiaceae.
ACCGUAACCAAUUCGGCCAGUAGCCACCUCUAUAUACACACACACACACAUUUUAGUCGCGAAGAAGUAUCAUUUACAGACAAAUUUUGCAUCUUUUAUUGUUCUUGUUUUCCCCCAGAAAGCACUUUUAUUUUGUAGCUUAGUUCAUUGGAACACACAACAAUAACCAUAUUGUCUCAAUAUAUUGUUUUAGGUAAAUUGACCUCCCUUUCUAGAAUUUGAACUUACCAAACAACUAUCCUUUCUGGGCUCCAAAGAGUUGCUUAGGAUUUAGGAAGUUGGCUCUUUGGCUUUGUACUUCCUAGCUAACUAAAUACAAUCUACUUCAUAGAAAGUAUUACUUCCUAGCAAGCUUGGAUAUGACUCUUCCGCGUCUGCUAGCAGUAGAAUGCAUAUGCUUCAUAGACAGGAUUGGACUUACAAGACAGAAGUCUCCUUUCUUGGGACUCCAUUUACUUGUUUUGGAAUUGAAAUCUUUUCCUCGCUACUUGUAACGUGCUGCUUUCCCAGAACUAAGAAAGACGUUUCUUUAUUCCCUUGCUCAUCAGUUUCUCCAGGACAUGAUCUUCCGCUCCCGCGAACUAGACCUCUAAUGCUCAUUUUGAGUUCUUUAUCCUUCAUUAGAGACUCCAAUGUCACAUGCACACGGUAUCUCCAAUAAUGCUUUGGAUUAGUGGGAUCAUUGAUAGUCUCCUCUGUUGCAGGACGUGUCAUGUACUCUUCUUUUAAUGCCAACAAAUCCUGAAGAGGGAAAAUUGCCCACAUUGAUGGAGCUUCAACAUGUUGCCUAAUGACAAAAUGUGCAAUAUCUGGCCUACAUUGACUAGGCGGCAAUUCAUCAGACCCCACCACACUCUUGAAGAAUCGACAUCUUCUUUCUUCAUCUUCUUCCCACCAAGCACGCAAAGUGGAGCAAUCAUGGCAUGAUGGAGCACAUACCGUCAUGUAGUUGUACUGUGAAGGAAUACCAAACUCC